Molecule: long non-coding RNA, 776 nt
Organism: Xenia sp. Carnegie-2017
Lineage: Eukaryota; Metazoa; Cnidaria; Anthozoa; Malacalcyonacea; Xeniidae
Exons: 2
Source: RefSeq, a predicted model, not a curated record
CCGUGAGAUUUUGUUUGUGCCGUGACACCUGUGGACCACCGUAGAGAAUAUAUAGAAGGGCAACUCGCAGGUGAAACGCGUGGCAUAUUUUCUGUGCGCAUGCGUUAGGUCCGCCAUUACUCGGCCAGUAACUUGACGCUGGCGUAAUAUAAAAUAAUAUUGGAAAAGUGCGAUUUUGGGAUAAUAAUCGCCUAAAACACAAACUGUUUUGGAAGAUCAUGGAAUUUUGUGACAAAACGUGAAAGGAAUAAGUUGUUAUUUUGGCAUUCAGUUCUCAAGUGAGGAUUAUGUUGCAAGUGUCUUGUGUUAUGUAGUUUAGUAUGUUGGAUUAGAUUUUAGUGGCUACUUGUAUCUGUAGCAUGUUAAACUUUGUUUGUUAAAUUCUAUUAUGUUUUUAUUAUGAUUGGGUGGUUUUUGUAAGGGUGCUUUAUUAAACAUUGAUCACAAUUUCUUCAGCUUAAUUGUUUAGUAUACCAAUAUUUAUAGAGAAAUUAGCAUUUCUUCUGCACCCCCAUCUAGCUUAAGCUAGGAGGGCUGCACACCCCUCUCUUAUAUCCAUCUCUGAAUAAAGUUGUCAUUAAAUUUUAUAAAUGUAAAUAUGUGUACUGAAUUGCUGUAUUUUAUUCUGUAUAUUCUAUUGCAUGAAAUGCACACAUUCUAAAUUUAAAUUGUUUUGUGUUAAAGAUUUUUGUGCACCAUGUAAAUCUUUAACGACAAAGACAUGUUUUUAGCCUUGUAACCAUUAAGAAAAUAUAAUAUUUAUUAUAUUGCUGUUA